GACGAGGGAUCCUAGCGUUGUUCGGAAUUAUUGGGCGUAAAGCGGGUGUAGGCGGACUUAUAAGUCAGGUGUGAAAUCCCAGGGCUCAACCCUGGAAGUGCACUUGAUACUGUAAGUCUUGAAUGUGGUAGAGGUUACUAGAAUUCCUGGUGUAGUGGUGAAAUACGUAGAUAUCGAGAGGAACACCAGUGGCGAAGGCGAGUCCCUGGACAACACCUGACACUGAGGCACGAAAGCUAGGGGAGCAAACAGG
Molecule: ribosomal RNA, 253 nt
Filed under: uncultured bacterium
Lineage: Bacteria
Description: partial 16S ribosomal RNA
Rfam family: Bacterial small subunit ribosomal RNA
Source: RNAcentral